CAGGAGUUUCGUUCUCGAGCCGUUUUCCGUCUGCGUCCCGGCGCCACCAGACGUCCUCCUAUCGCCAGCUGAAGCAGGAGUGCAUGAAGUUCGGUUCUCGAACCAUCAGGUCCCGGUGCCACCAGACGUCCUCCUUUCGCCAGCUGAAGCAGGGCAAAGCUUCACACGGACCAAAGAGCAAACUAGGACACAGGAGCCUGGAAGCGAACCGCCAUUGGCCAGCGUCGGCUCAUC
Molecule: long non-coding RNA, 234 nt
Organism: Dermacentor silvarum
Lineage: Eukaryota; Metazoa; Arthropoda; Arachnida; Ixodida; Ixodidae
Exons: 3
Source: RefSeq, a predicted model, not a curated record